This 252-nucleotide ribosomal RNA is filed under the name uncultured bacterium. Its description in RNAcentral is "partial 16S ribosomal RNA". It matches the Rfam family "Bacterial small subunit ribosomal RNA", at positions 524 to 776 of the family's 1533-position model. The record is from RNAcentral.
UACGUAGGUCCCGAGCGUUGUCCGGAUUUAUUGGGCGUAAAGCGAGCGCAGGUGGUUUAUUAAGUCUGGUGUAAAAGGCAGUGGCUCAACCAUUGUAUGCAUUGGAAACUGGUAGACUUGAGUGCAGGAGAGGAGAGUGGAAUUCCAUGUGUAGCGGUGAAAUGCGUAGAUAUAUGGAGGAACACCGGUGGCGAAAGCGGCUCUCUGGCCUGUAACUGACACUGAGGCUCGAAAGCGAGGGGAGCAAACAGG